AUCUUGGGAUAGUGAUUCAAUAAAUAAUAGGUCCCCUGUCUACAGCGCACGCGUCCUUGAGCCACGCAGGUGCAUGAUGACGUCAUACCGUGGCUUCACUGCAGAUUGACCAAAGGAGCAUUAGUGGAAAAAACAGUGUAGCCCUGAGACAAUAGGAUGAUGUCUGGACCAAUGAGAACGGCCAGCGGGGGGCGCAGGAAUGCUCUUCUCACUUAGCCUCACGACCAAUGAGCAACGAGAGAAGAGGGCGCAGGAAUGCUCUUCUCUCUUAGCCUCUCGCAGGUGGCGGUAGGAGCGCGCAGAGGGCGCUACGAGCGCGCGCAUGCGUAGCACUCGUAGAGUGGCGCUUACGUCAGUCCACCUCUGGCUCUCGUUGGGAGAAGACGUGCGGUCGUUCGCUCCGUCGUCACUUGAUCCCUGGCUGUCGACGAGAGCAGUCGCAUCGGUCUGCGCUCCUACUGUGAGCUGUCCUAACUUGCCCAGACAUGCCGUGAUGACGUCACAGCUGACGUCACAGGAUGUCCGGAACUGGUGGUCAUAGCUGCGAUGCUUUGCAACCUGCCUCUGUGCUCCGUCGCCCAGCGACGGUCAGCGGCCUUUCCGGACCGCUUUCUUCAAGAUGGCGCCGUUGAUCUUCAAUUAAACUCCUUCUCUCCACUCUA
Long non-coding RNA from Ornithodoros turicata, 662 nucleotides. RefSeq lists it as uncharacterized. The transcript has 2 exons. Lineage: Eukaryota; Metazoa; Arthropoda; Arachnida; Ixodida; Argasidae. The record is from RefSeq and is a predicted model, not a curated record.